CAGGCCUAACACAUGCAAGGAGGCAGAAAUGGGGAAUAUUGCUCAAUGGGCGAAAGCCUGACGCAGCCAUGCCACGUGUGUGAAGAAGGCCUUCGGGUUGUAAAGCACUUUCAAUUGGGAAGAAAGGUUGCGUGUUAAUAGCACGUAGCUGUGACGUUACCUUUAGAAGAAGCACCGGCUAACUCCGUGCCAGCAGCCGCGGUAAUACGGAGGGUGCGAGCGUUAAUCGGAAUUACUGGGCGUAUUGCGCGCGUAGGCGGUUUGUUAAGUCUGAUGUGAAACCCCUGGGCUCACCCUGGGAAUUGCCUUCGAUACUGGCCGACUAGAGUACGAGAGAGGGAGGUAGAAUUCCACGUGUAGCGAUGAAAUGCGUAUAUAUGUGGAGUUAUACCGGUGGGGAAGGCGGCCUCCUGACUCGAUACUGACUCUGAGGUGCGAAUGCGUGGGUAGCAAACAGGAUUAGAUACCCUGGUACUCCACGCCAGAAACGAUGUCUACUAUCCGUUGAGAUACUUGAUUUCUUAGUGGCGCAGCUAACUCACUAAGUAGACCGCCAGGGGAGUACGGCCACCUGGUAAAAACUCAUAUGAAUUGACGGGGGCCCGCACAAGGGGUGGAAGUAUGUGUUUUAAUUCGACGCAACG
RNAcentral lists this ribosomal RNA (644 nucleotides) under uncultured bacterium. RNAcentral describes it as "bacterial SSU rRNA". It matches the Rfam family "Bacterial small subunit ribosomal RNA", at positions 43 to 961 of the family's 1533-position model. The record is from RNAcentral.